This 399-nucleotide ribosomal RNA is filed under the name uncultured bacterium. RNAcentral describes it as "bacterial SSU rRNA". It matches the Rfam family "Bacterial small subunit ribosomal RNA", at positions 28 to 430 of the family's 1533-position model. The record is from RNAcentral.
GACGAACGCUGGCGGCGUGCUUAACACAUGCAAGUCGAGCGGUAAGGCCCUUUCGGGGGUACACGAGCGGCGAACGGGUGAGUAACACGUGGGUGACCUGCCCUCAGCUCUGGGAUAAGCCUGGGAAACUGGGUCUAAUACCGGAUAUGACUCCAUGACGCAUGUUGUGGGGUGGAAAGCCUUGUGCGGCUGAGGAUGGGCCCGCGGCCUAUCAGCUUGUUGGGGGGUGAUGGCCUACCAAGGCGACGACGGGUAGCCGGCCUGAGAGGGCGACCGGCCACACUGGGACUGAGACACGGCCCAGACUCCUACGGGAGGCAGCAGUGGGGAAUCUUGCGCAAUGGGCGAAAGCCUGACGCAGCGACGCCGCGUGAGGGAUGACGGCCUGGUGUAACGUAC